This 450-nucleotide ribosomal RNA is filed under the name uncultured bacterium. Its description in RNAcentral is "partial 16S ribosomal RNA". It matches the Rfam family "Bacterial small subunit ribosomal RNA", at positions 354 to 796 of the family's 1533-position model. The record is from RNAcentral.
GUGGGGAAUAUUGGACAAUGGGCGAAAGCCUGAUCCAGCCAUGCCGCGUGUGUGAAGAAGGUCUUCGGAUUGUAAAGCACUUUAAGUUGGGAGGAAGGGCAUUAACCUAAUACGUUAGUGUUUUGACGUUACCGACAGAAUAAGCACCGGCUAACUUCGUGCCAGCAGCCGCGGUAAUACGAAGGGUGCAAGCGUUAAUCGGAAUUACUGGGCGUAAAGCGCGCGUAGGUGGUUCAGCAAGUUGGAGGUGAAAUCCCCGGGCUCAACCUGGGAACUGCCUGCAAAACUACUGAGCUAGAGUACGGUAGAGGGUAGUGGAAUUUCCUGUGUAGCGGUGAAAUGCGUAGAUAUAGGAAGGAACACCAGUGGCGAAGGCGACUACCUGGACUGAUACUGACACUGAGGUGCGAAAGCGUGGGGAGCAAACAGGAUUAGAAACCCUGGUAGUCC